CGCCGAUCUAUAUAUGACACGCGAAGGAGGAGAGAGUCCGCCAUUGAAUAAUUUUAUUGUUAACCCACUUAAUGGAUGUGUUUAUGUUUUGGGUUUAUUUGUUAAAGUAUGAAACGCGCUUUGUUUGCAAUUUAGUUCGCGACGGUGAUUUGAAAACAAGAUGUAGAACAAUGUGUAAUCGAGCGCAGACAGAUCGAUACAAUGUCUCAUCUAUAUGUGUUGUAGAUCUGUGGCUCCGGGGCCUGGCUCGCUGCGCGCUCUUCACCGCCGGUUAACGAGGAUCUUCACCGGUUAACGAGGCUCGUCGCUUCGUUUUGAGGCUCGUUGUGACCUCGUCGGACGCAAUGGGAUGUCUGACCUGCUGGCGGGUGUGAGCCAGUUUCCGGUGAGCGAGACGACAGUGACAAACGACCUGGAGGAUCAGAGCUUGCCUCAAUACUGGCCCGACAUGGAAAUCAACCACGAUGGGAUGUACCACGUCACCGACGAGGGUGACGGAUCUGGUGCGUGGCUGCCGAGCCCGCAAGGCCUUGCGGACGAACCGACCCACAGUGACGUAUCUACGAUCACCAUGGUGCCCGAACCCAAGGUUGAAGUGAAACCACACCAGCCAUGUUUCGAGGCACCGACCAUUUUGACAACUGAAAAAAUCCUGUAUGAAAUUCAGAACGAUGAGAAGAUAGCCAGCCUGUUGGGAAAGUACCCCAAAUACAACCGUGUCCUGGUGUACUACUACCUGUACAAGGGCAUGCGAACGCAGGAGAAGGACAACCCCCUGAUAGCGGAGGCCGCUGAGAAGGCCGGUGUCACGUACCAGCACGCUUACAACUUCAUUGGAAACUUCCGCCGUUCGAUCGGUGCUUCCCGGCACCGCGGACAGCGGAUUUGGACGCCGUGGACCAAAAAUUCUCCAGGCAAAGCCGCAGCUUCUCCAGCCGGCUUACCGAGCAGCUUACCUGGUGUUCUGCAACCUGAGGAGAACCAUGAUGGUUUAGGCUUUUCCAUGGAGGAAAACCAUACCGGUCUUCUGGAGCGAAUGGAAGGGGAAAGCCCGCCAUCUGGUGGGGAGGCCUCCAUAGUUGAUCCUUGCAUGACGAGGAUGGAUGGCAUGAACUCGGGAACAAACUUUUUGAAUGAGUUGAAGCAAGAUCCAGAGAUCGCAAAACAGCUGGAGCGAUUCCCCAAGUACAAUGGUGUGCUGGUUUACUACUAUCUGUACAAGGGCAUGCGGACGCAGGAGAAGGAUAACUCCUUGAUAGCAGAGGCCUCUGAGAAGGCUGGCGUCACGUAUCAGCACGCUUACUACUUUAUCGGAAACUUCCGCCGAGCAACCGGCGAAUCCCGUACGCGAACGCGAAGAGACGCCGGUCCAUGGGACCCUCCUCAUUUCCCUUACCCCGGGCCUCUGCAGCAACACCUCACGCAGUAUGGGCAGUCGGGCUCGCCGAGUUUAGAGUCAGCAUCAACUGAUGGCCAUGACGCUGAUGGCUCUUCAGAGCUGACGGAGGGUACAUUGGGCACGUCAACUGGUUACCGGGACGGCUGUGAGGAGCGUGGUGAGGGUGAUGGACUAGUCGGCCCGCCGUCUGACGGAGCCAUGUGGGGAGCUUGUACAACAUCACCUUUUCGUGGCUGUGGCCAAGAGAUGGAGCUGGUGACGGAGACUGAUCGGAUUCUUGAGAAACUCAAAGCAAAUAAAGACAUUGCAAGGAGGCUGGAGCGAUUCCCCAAAUAUAACCGUGUGCUAGCUUACUAUUACCUGUACAAGGGUAUGCGGACACAGGAAAAGGAUAACCCACUGAUAGCAGAGGCUGCAGAGAAGGCUGGUGUCACGUACCAGCACGCUUACAACUUCAUUGGGAAUUUCCGGAGAGCGACGGGAGGUUCCAAGGUGCGUGGAGCACGGCUUGGCAUGACCUGUGUGUCCGGCGUGACUGGCUCUGUGGACAAGGGUGUGGAGCAGCUGCACGGAUGCAGGAAACGCAGAAAAGGUGGCACGAUGUUGGGCUGGAGCCCCCAAGCCUCACCUGCACAGGCAUUGGGAACUGUCGGUUAUCCGGGUGGUGACAGAACGGGCGAUGACUCUGCAGAUUCAUUUGGCAUAAUCCGACAAAAUCUGCAGCGGAUCCAGCAAUUGAUGGAGGAUAACCAACGUUAUGGCUGUGAGGGUCUCGCCAUGGCGUUCUGUUUCCAACCGAGCACGGCUCACACCCAGGAGCCUCUUUUGUGGGUGCUCGGCUCACCAGAGGGGAAGAGCUUGCUUGCAGAACAUCGCAUCGGCGACUAUGUCGCCCUGCUAUGGAGAGCCAAGCGUAUCAGAGAUGUUGAAAUCAAGAAGAUGGAGUCGAAUGCUGACAAUUCCAAGGUGCUGGAUGAACUCGGCCAAUGGGACGAAGCCGAGAAGGACAGCACAGCCCUUCCACAAAGUACAGACUGUGGCCACGAGGUUCCCAAUGCAUCCACCUCUGAGCCUGGGCCCAGUCCCCCGAACCAACCUCUGAGAACCAACCGUAGGCUCCCGUCUACAAGCUCUGGUGGAGGGUGGAAUGCGAGGCCACAUUGUCACAUGGAGCAAGGACAUGGACAUCAAUGA
Molecule: long non-coding RNA, 2593 nt
Organism: Eptatretus burgeri (inshore hagfish)
Lineage: Eukaryota; Metazoa; Chordata; Myxini; Myxiniformes; Myxinidae
Source: Ensembl